AACGUACGCUGGCGGCACGCCUAACACAUGCAAGUCGAACGAAGUAGCAAUACUUAGUGGCAGACGGGUGAGUAACAUGUGGGUAUCUGCCCUUUGGCCUGGAAUAACACGAGGAAACUUGUGCUAAUACCGGAUAAGUCUUUACGGAGAAAGCUUUAUGCACCAUUGGAUGAGCCCGCACUUGAUUAGUUUGUUGGUGGGGUAAUGGCCUACCAAGACUGCGAUCAAUAGCUGAUUUGAGAGGAUGAUCAGCCACAUUGGGACUGAGACACGGCCCAAACUCCUACGGGAGGCAGCAGUGGGGAAUCUUGCACAAUGGAGGAAACUCUGAUGCAGCGAUGCCGCGUGAGUGAAGAAGGCCCUUGGGUUGUAAAGCUCUUUCGUCGGGGAAGAAAAUGACUGUACCCGAAUAAGAAGGUCCGGCUAACUUCGCGCCAGCAGCCGCGGUAAUACGAAGGGACCUAGCGUAGUUCGGAAUUACUGGGCUUAAAGAGUUCGUAGGUGGUUGAAAAAGUUAGUGGUGAAAUCCCAGAGCUUAACUCUGGAACUGCCAUUAAAACUUUUCAGCUAGAGUAUGAUAGAGGAAAGCAGAAUUUCUAGUGUAGAGGUGAAAUUCGUAGAUAUUAGAAAGAAUACCAAUUGCGAAGGCAGCUUUCUGGAUCAUUACUGACACUGAGGAACGAAAGCAUGGGUAGCGAAGAGGAUUAGAUACCCUCGUAGUCCAUGCCGUAAACGAUGUGUGUUAGACGUUGGAAAUUUAUUUUCAGUGUCGCAGCGAAAGCGAUAAACACGCCGCCUGGGGAGUACGACCGCAAGGUUAAAACUCAAAUGAAUUGACGGGGACCCGCACAAGUAGUGGAGCAUGUGGUUUAAUUCGAAGAUACGCGCAGAACCUUACCAACACUUGACAUGUUCGUCGCGACUCUAAGAGAUUAGAGUUUUCGGUUCGGCCGGACGAAACACAGGUGCUGCAUGGCUGUCGUCAGCUCGUGUCGUGAGAUGUUGGGUUAAGUCCCGCAACGAGCGCAACCCUCACUUUUAGUUGCCAUCAUUAAGUUGGGCACUCUGAAAGAACUGCCAGUGAUAAGCUGGAGGAAGGUGGGGAUGACGUCAAGUCCUCAUGGCCCUUACGUGUUGGGCUACACACGUGCUACAAUGGUAUCUACAACAGGAAGCAAGACUGCGAGGUCAAGCAAAUCCUUAAAAGAUACCUCAGUUCGGAUUGCACUCUGCAACUCGAGUGCAUGAAGCUGGAAUUACUAGUAAUCGUGGAUCAGCGUGCCACGGUGAAUGCGUUCCCGGGUCU
RNAcentral lists this ribosomal RNA (1306 nucleotides) under uncultured bacterium. RNAcentral describes it as "bacterial SSU rRNA". It matches the Rfam family "Bacterial small subunit ribosomal RNA", at positions 28 to 1381 of the family's 1533-position model. The record is from RNAcentral.